This 505-nucleotide ribosomal RNA is filed under the name Aspidosiphon steenstrupii. RNAcentral's name for it is "partial 16S ribosomal RNA". It matches the Rfam family "Bacterial large subunit ribosomal RNA", at positions 1819 to 2598 of the family's 2925-position model. The record is from RNAcentral. Lineage: Eukaryota; Metazoa; Annelida; Sipuncula; Aspidosiphonidormes; Aspidosiphonidae.
GGCCUGUAGAAUAAGAGACUAAAGGUCCGGCCUGCCCGGUGAGGAUUUAAACGGCGGCAGUAUCCUGACUGUCCAAAGGUAGCGCAAUCACUCGCCUCUUAAUUGGAGGCAUAGUAUGAAUGGCCAGACGAGGGUUAAGCUGUCUCUUUUAAGUUGUUUUGAAGUUGAUUUUAGGUGCAGAAUCCUAGAUUUUUAUGAAAGACGAGAAGACCCUACGUGCUUUAGUUUUGGUUAAUUGGAUGUAAAAUAACUAAGACUUUUAUUGGGAGAAUAAAGGAGGAGAAUGAUAAUCCUGCUAUUAUACUUGGGCUGUUAGAUGUGUUUAAGGUAGCUUAGAUAGGAAGAGAUUAUAGUUGCGAUGGAUAAUAGUAACCAUAGGGAUAACAGAUCAAUUUCUUUUGAGAGUACACAUUAACAAAGAAGUUUGGCACCUCGAUGUUGGCUUAGGAGUAUUACUACGAAGUAGAGGUCUAGUAAAUGGGCUUGUUCCGCCUUUUAAUUCCUA